RNAcentral lists this ribosomal RNA (500 nucleotides) under uncultured bacterium. RNAcentral's name for it is "partial 16S ribosomal RNA". It matches the Rfam family "Bacterial small subunit ribosomal RNA", at positions 30 to 523 of the family's 1533-position model. The record is from RNAcentral.
AUUGAACGCUGGCGGCAGGCCUAACACAUGCAAGUCGAGCGGAUGACGGGAGCUUGCUCCUUGAUUCAGCGGCGGACGGGUGAGUAAUGCCUAGGAAUCUGCCUGGUAGUGGGGGACCACGUUUCGAAAGGAACGCUAAUACCGCAUACGCCCUACGGGAGAAAGCAGGGGACCUUCGGGCCUUGCGCUCUCAGAUGAGCCGAGGUCGGAUUAGCUAGUUGGUGGGGUAAUGGCUCACCAAGGAGACGAUCCGUAACUGGUCUGAGAGGAUGAUCAGUCACACUGGAACUGAGACACGGUCCAGACUCCUACGGGAGGCAGCAGUGGGGAAUAUUGGACAAUGGGCGAAAGCCUGAUCCAGCCAUGCCGCGUGUGUGAAGAAGGUCUUCGGUUUGUAAAGCACUUUAAGUUGGGAGGAAGGGCAGUAAGCUAAUAUCUUGCUGUUUUGACGUUACCGACAGAAUGAGCACCGGCUAACUCUGUGCCAGCCGCCGCCGUAA